UUAAACGCAAGUAACUUAGCAACCCAGAAUGGAUUUCAGACAGGAAGUUGAGUUGCUCAGUGUGUGACUGAAGGCAGCACAUGAGGCAGGAGUUGUGGUUUCAUCAGCACACACUCUUCCAGCCCUUGCGGAGCUUUGAUUUUAAUUGCAAAAGCCAUGUCAAAGACACCACGGCCAAUGGAUGUUGGUAGGCUGAUAGUCCUUGUGCAAGAGAGGCCAUGCAUCUGGGAUACGCACAGUGAUGACUACCACGAUCGGUAUAAAAAAAGAUCAGGCCUGGGUGGAAAUAACCAAGGAGCUUUUUGAAUCCAGCUGGGAAAAAACACAUGGCAAAAGCCGCCAGAAUUUGGUGGAAGAUGUCAAGAAUCGUUGGCGGAGCUGCACGGACCAGUUCCGCAAGGAAAUGCUUCAACAUGCGAGGAGUGGGUCCGGGGCCACCAAGAAAAGGCCAUAUAUGUUC
Bufo bufo (common toad) is the source of this 460-nucleotide long non-coding RNA. RefSeq lists it as uncharacterized. The transcript has 2 exons. The record is from RefSeq and is a predicted model, not a curated record. NCBI's taxonomy places the organism in Eukaryota, Metazoa, Chordata, Amphibia, Anura, Bufonidae.